GAUGAACGCUGGCGGCGUGCCUAAUACAUGCAAGUCGAGCGAACAGAUAAGGAGCUUGCUCCUUUGACGUUAGCGGCGGACGGGUGAGUAACACGUGGGUAACCUACCUAUAAGACUGGGAUAACUUCGGGAAACCGGAGCUAAUACCGGAUAACAUUUGGAUCCGCAUGGUUCUAAAGUGAAAGAUGGUUUUGCUAUCACUUAUAGAUGGACCCGCGCCGUAUUAGCUAGUUGGUAAGGUAACGGCUUACCAAGGCGACGAUACGUAGCCGACCUGAGAGGGUGAUCGGCCACACUGGAACUGAGACACGGUCCAGACUCCUACGGGAGGCAGCAGUAGGGAAUCUUCCGCAAUAGGCGAAAGCCUGACGGAGCAACGCCGCGUGAGUGAUGAAGGGUUUCGGCUCGUAAAACUCUGUUAUUAGGGAAGAACAAAUGUGUAAGUAACUGUGCACGUCUUGACGGUACCUAAUCAGAAAGCCACGGCUAACUACGUG
Molecule: ribosomal RNA, 497 nt
Filed under: uncultured bacterium
Lineage: Bacteria
Description: partial 16S ribosomal RNA
Rfam family: Bacterial small subunit ribosomal RNA
Source: RNAcentral